RNAcentral lists this non-coding RNA (26 nucleotides) under Homo sapiens (human). The record is from RNAcentral. Lineage: Eukaryota; Metazoa; Chordata; Mammalia; Primates; Hominidae.
UCCUGCUGGGACCUGGCAAGAACUGC